Molecule: ribosomal RNA, 253 nt
Filed under: uncultured prokaryote
Description: partial 16S ribosomal RNA
Rfam family: Bacterial small subunit ribosomal RNA
Source: RNAcentral
UACGAAGGACCCAAGCGUUAUCCGGAUUUAUUGGGUUUAAAGGGUGCGUAGGCGGGUUGUUAAGUCAGUGGUGAAAGCUCCGAGCCUAACUCGGAAACUGCCAUUGAUACUGAUGAUCUUGAGUACAUUUGAGGUGGGCGGAAUGUGUCAUGUAGCGGUGAAAUGCUUAGAGAUGACACAGAACACCGAUUGCGAAGGCAGCUCACUAAACUGUAACUGACGCUGAGGCACGAAAGCGUGGGGAGCAAACAGG